GACGAACGCUGGCGGCGUGCUUAACACAUGCAAGUCGAACGGAAAGGCUCCAGCUUGCUGGAGUACUCGAGUGGCGAACGGGUGAGUAACACGUGGGUAAUCUGCCCUGCACUCUGGGAUAAGCCUGGGAAACUGGGUCUAAUACUGGAUAUGACCUUUCUCCUUAUGGGGUUUGGUGGAAAGUUUUUCGGUGUAGGAUGAGCCCGCGGCCUAUCAGCUUGUUGGUGGGGUGAUGGCCUACCAAGGCGACGACGGGUAGCCGGCCUGAGAGGGUGAUCGGCCACAUUGGGACUGAGAUACGGCCCAGACUCCUACGGGAGGCAGCAGUGGGGAAUAUUGCACAAUGGGCGGAAGCCUGAUGCAGCGACGCCGCGUGCGGGAUGACGGCCUUCGGGUUGUAAACCUCUUUCAGCUGGGACGAAGCGUAAGUGACGGUACCUGCAGAAGAAGCACCGGCUAACUAUGUG
This 467-nucleotide ribosomal RNA is filed under the name uncultured bacterium. Its description in RNAcentral is "partial 16S ribosomal RNA". It matches the Rfam family "Bacterial small subunit ribosomal RNA", at positions 28 to 507 of the family's 1533-position model. The record is from RNAcentral.